AUGGGCAGCAUAGGAAGAAAUGUAUUUAUAGUCUCCAACAAGAUGAGGGGAGGAUCGAAGGUCAGGAGGAGCUCAAAAAGUAUAUCACCAAAUACUACAAAUCUCUUUUCAGAGCGCCGACUGAAGGGAAUUUCACCCUUGAUGAGACCCGAACAGAUGAUAUUCCACAUGUCACGGCAGAAGAAAACGAUAUCCUAA
This 198-nucleotide ribosomal RNA is filed under the name Triticum aestivum (bread wheat). RNAcentral describes it as "partial small subunit ribosomal RNA". Lineage: Eukaryota; Viridiplantae; Streptophyta; Magnoliopsida; Poales; Poaceae. The record is from RNAcentral.